Molecule: ribosomal RNA, 253 nt
Filed under: uncultured bacterium
Lineage: Bacteria
Description: partial 16S ribosomal RNA
Rfam family: Bacterial small subunit ribosomal RNA
Source: RNAcentral
UACAGAGGUCUCAAGCGUUGUUCGGAUUCAUUGGGCGUAAAGGGUGCGUAGGCGGGUCUUUAAGUCAGUGGUGAAAUCCUGGAGCUCAACUCCAGAACUGCCUUUGAUACUGAAGAUCUUGAGUUCGGGAGAGGUGAGUGGAACUGCGAGUGUAGAGGUGAAAUUCGUAGAUAUUCGCAAGAACACCAGUGGCGAAGGCGGCUCACUGGCCCGAUACUGACGCUGAGGCACGAAAGCGUGGGGAGCAAACAGG